CCUACGGGAGGCAGCAGUGGGGAAUAUUGCACAAUGGGGGAAACCCUGAUGCAGCGACGCCGCGUGAGUGAAGAAGUAAUUCGUUAUGUAAAGCUCUAUCAGCCGGGGAGAAAAUGACGGUACCUGAGUACGAAGCACCGGCUAACUACGGGCCAGCAGCCGCGGGAAUACGUCGGGGGCCAGCGUUAUCAGGAUUUACUGGGUGUAAAGGGAGCGUAGACGGCAGUGCAAGUCUGGAGUGAAAGGCGGGGGCUCAACCCCCGGACUGCUCUGGAAACUGUACGGCUGGAGUGCAGGAGAGGUAAGUGGAAUGCCUGGUGUAGCGGUGAAAUGCGUAGAUAUUAGGAGGAACACCAGUUGCGAAGGCAGCUUACUGGACUGUAACUGACGUUGAGGCUCGAAAGCGUGGGGAGCAAACAGGAUUAGAUACCCGAGUAGUC
This 440-nucleotide ribosomal RNA is filed under the name uncultured bacterium. RNAcentral's name for it is "partial 16S ribosomal RNA". It matches the Rfam family "Bacterial small subunit ribosomal RNA", at positions 338 to 795 of the family's 1533-position model. The record is from RNAcentral.